Molecule: non-coding RNA, 834 nt
Organism: Mustela lutreola (European mink)
Lineage: Eukaryota; Metazoa; Chordata; Mammalia; Carnivora; Mustelidae
Source: the annotation of a RefSeq genome assembly
CAAUUCCCCUCUACCAUGGACUGGGUUUCCUUCUACCUCUUGCCCUUUAUUAUCUCUACAGGUUUCUGUGCUCUGCCUGUGCUGACUCAGCCUCCAUCAGCAAAUGCCUCCCUGGAAGCCUCAGUCAAGCUUACAUGCACUCUGAGCAGGGAGCACAGCAAUUACUAUGUUCUUUGGUAUCAACAGGAACCAGGGAAGGCCCCUCGGUAUUUGAUGAAGGUUAAUAGUGACGGAAGUUACAGCAAGGGGGAUGGGAUCCCCAAUCGCUUCUCAGGCUCCAGCUCUGGGGCUGACCGCUAUUUAACCAUCUCCGACAUCCAGUCUGAGGAUGAAGCUGAGUAUUACUGCGGUCAGCCCACGUCCGCACCCUCGGUCACGCUCUUCCCGCCCUCCUCUGAGGAACUCGCCGCCAGCAAGGCCACCCUGGUGUGCCUCAUCAGUGACUUCUACCCCAGCGGCGUGGCGGUGGCCUGGAAGGCAGACGGCAGCCCCGUCACCCAGGGCGUGGAGACCACCAAGCCCUCCAAACAGAGCAACAACAAGUACGCGGCCAGCAGCUACCUGAGCCUGUCGCCUGACAAGUGGCAAUCUCACAGCAGCUUCAGCUGCCUGGUCACGCACGAGGGCAACACCGUGGAGAAGAAGGUGGUCCCCUCACAGUGCUCUUAGGUCCCUGAGACUUCCAGGGAUGGGGGCCUUCCUCUCCCAGAUACCCCUUUCCCAGCUCACCAUGUCCCCCUGAGUCCCCACCCAGGUUCUGCUCAGAGCAGGCAGGUCACAAUGCCAUCCCUGUUUAUUAUUUGCUCAAUAAAGAUCUCAUCAUUUAUCAUCUGA